RNAcentral lists this ribosomal RNA (444 nucleotides) under uncultured Bacteroidota bacterium. RNAcentral describes it as "bacterial SSU rRNA". It matches the Rfam family "Bacterial small subunit ribosomal RNA", at positions 1074 to 1533 of the family's 1533-position model. The record is from RNAcentral. Lineage: Bacteria; Pseudomonadati; Bacteroidota.
GUGGGUAGUCCGCACGAGCGCACCCUAUCUUUAUUGCUAACAGGUUAGCUGAGGACUCUAGAGAAACUGCCUACGCAAGUAGAGAGGAAGGCGGGGACGACGUCAAGUCAUCACGGCCCUUACGUCCUGGGCCACACACGUGCUACAAUGGUUGGUACAGAGGGCAGCUACCCCGCGAGGGGAUGCGAAUCUCUAAAGCCAAUCUCAGUUCGGAUUGGAGUCUGCAACUCGACUCCAUGAAGCUGGAAUCGCUAGUGAUCGCGCAUCAGCCAUGGCGCGGUGAAUACGUUCCCGGGCCUUGUACACACCGCCCGUCAAGCCAUGGAAGCUGGGGGUGCCUGAAGUCGGUAACCGUAAGGAGCUGCCUAGGGUAAAACUAGUAACUGGGGCUAAGUCGUAACAAGGUAGCCGUACCGGAAGGUGCGGCUGGAACACCUCCUUUCU